Molecule: ribosomal RNA, 156 nt
Filed under: uncultured soil bacterium
Lineage: Bacteria
Description: partial 16S ribosomal RNA
Rfam family: Bacterial small subunit ribosomal RNA
Source: RNAcentral
AGGACGAACGCUGGCGGCGUGCCUAAAACAUGCAAGUCGAACGAGGUCCAUCCAGUGGCAACACUGGUGAAGCCUAGUGGCGAACGGGUGAGUAACACGUGAGGAACCUGCCCCGAAGACCGGGAUAACCCUCCGAAAGGAGAGCUAAUACCGGAU